GGCGGGGUAGCUCAGUUGGCUAGAGCAGUCGGCUCAUACCCGGCAUGUCGAGAGUUCGAGUCUCUCCCCCGCUACCA
RNAcentral lists this transfer RNA (77 nucleotides) under Candidatus Omnitrophota bacterium. Its description in RNAcentral is "tRNA-Met". It matches the Rfam family "tRNA". From Rfam's summary of the family: Transfer RNA (tRNA) molecules are approximately 80 nucleotides in length. Their secondary structure includes four short double-helical elements and three loops (D, anti-codon, and T loops). Further hydrogen bonds mediate the characteristic L-shaped molecular structure. tRNAs have two regions of fundamental functional importance: the anti-codon, which is responsible for specific mRNA codon recognition, and the 3' end, to which the tRNAs corresponding amino acid is attached (by aminoacyl-tRNA synthetases). tRNAs cope with the degeneracy of the genetic code in two manners: having more than one tRNA (with a specific anti-codon) for a particular amino acid; and 'wobble' base-pairing, i.e. permitting non-standard base-pairing at the 3rd anti-codon position. Lineage: Bacteria; Pseudomonadati; Candidatus Omnitrophota. The record is from RNAcentral.